AUGGUGACACAUCAAAGCGAUGAACGGGCACAUUGGAGAAGGACAAUGCACGGUGAAGGAUGCUUGGCGCCAUCCUUGACCAUGCUUUCUGUCACCCCCACCUACUUCUCAAUGGAUCAAUGAAGCCUGCAUCACAGAAAAAAAAAAUGAACAAGAAAGAUGAACAAUUAACUGAUCCUGAGAAGCAGUAUCAUGUCGUGUGAUUGUUAUGCUAUUGUGGCCGAAUGAUGUGUGUGAGAAGCACGGGGGGCUCCAAGAGAAUCCAGCAAUCCCUUUCAGGACAUUAGGACUCUCAGAGAGAAUGGACGGCCCCAUCAGAACAAGGACAAUGUGCACGGAUAUAUGCAGGGAGAGAGGAGGAGGAGAAAGGAGGGACCAAGAAACAGAAGAAGAAUGGCAGGGACUUAUUGAGACAACAACAGAGCCAUUGCAACGGAUCCGGUUUAAGGUAGACUACCAGCCUAAAUGACCACGCGUGUCAUAUAGCUUGGGUGGACGAGAACGGAAGGAAAUGCCUUAGUACUUUCCGCAACUGACCAGCAUCGUGCAUUUUGUUCAACAUGCUUGCACAUCGUGGCCAUUGAACAGCACCUGUGAAUGUACACGAGUCAGUGGGCUCUGCACUGACUAGAAAUGCAUAAAGUAAUGGCUGGAAAAUGUUUAGAUUAGGACAUGCCAGUAAUAUGGUGGUGGAAAUGUUGUUUAGCCUCUCAGUCCUUCCGGUUUCAAACGUCAUAAGCUAACCUUCUUCCUCUUAUUCUUUUUUGGGAGUACGCUGCUCAAGUGCUCAUAAUCUUCUUACUAAAUUUCAUAUCUCUUUGUUAGUUUUUUAAUGAAAAAACUUCGGCUGGGAGCUGGACAUCUUUCCGUAUGGACCAUUGAAUCUAUCCCAACAUUGGCAAUGCCCAUGCAUGAGAACAAACAGAUAGGCUGAACACUUGACCUGCUCGCUAUCUGCUUGCACGAUGCCAUCAUUAUAUUUUUACAGCAUCGUUGUCCAUGAGAGGAAGAAGACAAGCUCUAGAAGCUCGAUACAUUCCACAGCACGGCCGGAGUUACCGAUAAGCACCUUCCUAUGCUUCAUAUCGAUCGCUCCGUCCGCCAAAAGCCACAUGGCAAAUUGCACAACGGCGACGCCCUAUGCAAAUCAGUAUAAAUAGCCACUCGUGUCGUGCUUUGCAAACUCCCCCGGCCAACCCAGCUUCACUAAUCGCAAUGGUAAUCACUUGAUGCACAGCACAAGAAAAAAGCAGAGACUGGUUGGUACCUGGUUGGCUGGUUCGGAACCAUGGGCUCCUUGCAUUGCGACAUCGCCGCCUCCCCGUCCUUCUCUAGCACCGGGAGCAGCAACGGCGGCGGUGAUAACGUCGCCGGCAGUGAUGGC
This 1384-nucleotide long non-coding RNA is filed under the name Setaria italica (foxtail millet). RNAcentral's name for it is "long non-coding RNA (SITA_LNC000769)". Lineage: Eukaryota; Viridiplantae; Streptophyta; Magnoliopsida; Poales; Poaceae. The record is from RNAcentral.